GACGAACGCUGGCGGCGUGCCUAACACAUGCAAGUCGAACGGAAGUAAGAGCUUCGGUUUUUGCUUUAGUGGCGAACGGGUGAGUAACACGUGAGGAACCUGCCUUUCAGAGGGGGAUAACGUUUGGAAACGAACGCUAAUACCGCAUGACAUAUUCCAUAGGCAUCUGAGGGAUAUCAAAGGAGAAAUCCGCUGAGAGAUGGCCUCGCGUCUGAUUAGGUAGUUGGUGAGGUAACGGCCCACCAAGCCUGCGAUCAGUAGCCGGACUGAGAGGUUGAUCGGCCACAUUGGGACUGAGACACGGCCCAG
This 309-nucleotide ribosomal RNA is filed under the name uncultured bacterium. RNAcentral's name for it is "bacterial SSU rRNA". It matches the Rfam family "Bacterial small subunit ribosomal RNA", at positions 28 to 334 of the family's 1533-position model. The record is from RNAcentral.